Molecule: ribosomal RNA, 502 nt
Filed under: Actinomyces massiliensis
Lineage: Bacteria; Bacillati; Actinomycetota; Actinomycetes; Actinomycetales; Actinomycetaceae
Description: bacterial SSU rRNA
Rfam family: Bacterial small subunit ribosomal RNA
Source: RNAcentral
UUUUUUUGGGGGUGGGGUUAGUGGCGAACGGGUGAGUAACACGUGAGUAACCUGCCCCUCACUUCUGGAUAACCGCUUGAAAGGGUGGCUAAUACGGGGUGUUCUGGCCUGCUCGCAUGGGUGGGUUUGGAAAGAUUCGACCGGUUUUGGUUGUUUUGGUGGGGGAUGGGCUCGCGGCCUAUCAGCUUGUUGGUGGGGUGAUGGCCUGCCAAGGCUUUGACGGGUAGCCGGCCUGAGAGGGUGGGCGGUCACACUGGGACUGAGACACGGCCCAGACUCCUACGGGAGGCAGCAGUGGGGAAUAUUGCACAAUGGGCGCAAGCCUGAUGCAGCGACGCCGCGUGAGGGAUGGAGGCCUUCGGGUUGUGAACCUCUUUCGCCAGUGAAGAAGGUCCUGCUCUUUGUGGUGGGGUUGACGGUAGCUGGGUUAAUGAAGCGCCGGCUAACUACGUGCCAGCAGCCGCGGUAAUACGUAGGGCGCGAGCGUUGUCCGGAAUUAUUG